Molecule: transfer RNA, 92 nt
Filed under: Steroidobacter sp.
Lineage: Bacteria; Pseudomonadati; Pseudomonadota; Gammaproteobacteria; Steroidobacterales; Steroidobacteraceae
Also listed under: 2 other names
Description: tRNA-Ser
Rfam family: tRNA
About the family: Transfer RNA (tRNA) molecules are approximately 80 nucleotides in length. Their secondary structure includes four short double-helical elements and three loops (D, anti-codon, and T loops). Further hydrogen bonds mediate the characteristic L-shaped molecular structure. tRNAs have two regions of fundamental functional importance: the anti-codon, which is responsible for specific mRNA codon recognition, and the 3' end, to which the tRNAs corresponding amino acid is attached (by aminoacyl-tRNA synthetases). tRNAs cope with the degeneracy of the genetic code in two manners: having more than one tRNA (with a specific anti-codon) for a particular amino acid; and 'wobble' base-pairing, i.e. permitting non-standard base-pairing at the 3rd anti-codon position.
Source: RNAcentral
GGAGAGAUGGCCGAGUGGUCGAAGGCGCUGGACUGGAAUUCCAGUAACAUCCUCACAGGUGUUCCAGGGUUCGAAUCCCUGUCUCUCCGCCA